GAUGAACGCUGGCGGCGUGCCUAACACAUGCAAGUCGAACGAAGCAGUUAAGAUGAAGUUUUCGGAUGAAAUCUUGAUUGACUGAGUGGCGGACGGGUGAGUAACGCGUGGAUAACCUGCCUCACACUGGGGGAUAACAGUUAGAAAUGACUGCUAAUACCGCAUAAGCGCACAGUGCCGCAUGGCAGUGGUGUAGAAAAACUCCGGUGGUGUGAGAUGGAUCCGCGUCUGA
RNAcentral lists this ribosomal RNA (232 nucleotides) under uncultured bacterium. RNAcentral's name for it is "partial 16S ribosomal RNA". It matches the Rfam family "Bacterial small subunit ribosomal RNA", at positions 28 to 240 of the family's 1533-position model. The record is from RNAcentral.